This is a long non-coding RNA of Chlorocebus sabaeus (green monkey), 672 nucleotides long. RefSeq lists it as uncharacterized. Lineage: Eukaryota; Metazoa; Chordata; Mammalia; Primates; Cercopithecidae. The record is from RefSeq and is a predicted model, not a curated record.
UAUGGCCUGAUGAAGAGGCCUCUAUGACCAGUCAACAACGAAGGAAAAAGUACCACCUGAUUUGUGGAUGGAUCUGUCCUGCCAUAUUUGUAGCAGUGAGAAGUGGACAGUUGCUACAUUACAGCCCCACUCGAGGAAGUCCUGGAGAGACAGGGGUGGCCUUUAUGGACAACAUUAAUGGUUUCUGUGGAGUCAGCCAAUGAAAGGCAUUGACAAGAAACUGGAGGAAGGAAGGAUGAAGCUUUUCACUAGGCUUCCUCUCUAGUGGGAAUGAUGAAUGUAUACCAACAUGCUGGAAAAGAGAAGGUUUAUACCGAAUACGUAUUUGCUUCUUUCGUUUUAUACAGUUUCCCUGUGGAAAAAGAGAAACAACAAUCUUCUGUAAAAACCCAGAUAUUGCUUUGUAUUGUGUUUGCUGAGGGUAGAAUUUUUAUAUAUUAGUUUUUGCUAGAGUUCUAUUUUCAUAUUUAAAAAUAUAAACAAAAUAUUUAAUUCUUAGCUUUUUCUUCAAAAGAAUAGAGCAAAGGAAUUGGGGUAAAAAAAAUUUUCGUUACAACAUGUAUUUGCAUGAACUCUAUCUUAGAAAACCAGGUUAGUGUUGUACCAACUAUAUUUCCUCUCUUUCUUUUAAUUAUAAUAACUCAAAUAAAAUGCUUGGUAUUUUUCUAUCCA